Molecule: long non-coding RNA, 439 nt
Filed under: Brassica rapa (field mustard)
Lineage: Eukaryota; Viridiplantae; Streptophyta; Magnoliopsida; Brassicales; Brassicaceae
Description: long non-coding RNA (BRAP_LNC005719)
Source: RNAcentral
GUGAAUGUAGAUUGGUUCAUGAGUCAUUGGUUAGGGGUUGGUGACAUAUGCUAUAGUAUUGUUAUUAUCUUUAGGAUUAGAUUUGAAAUCUUAUCUUUGUUUUUUUUUUCUUUUUCAAAUUGACCUAUGUAUGUUUAGUAACUAUCUAAUAAUUUGAUUUAAACACUUUCUAAGUUUUUUUAAGUUUAAAAAAGUUUUUUUGCAUAGUUAUUUGAUUUUAGGGUCUAGAAGACUCACAUAAAACUUAAAAAGAAGUAUUCCGACACAUCCGCCUAAAUUUAAGUAAAAUUUAGGGUUCACGCCUAAAUUGUGGAAUAAUUUAGGUUUCCCGCCUAAAUCAAAGUCUUCCAUAAGUCUUCCAUGAGUCUUACAUAAGUCUUCAAUGAGUGUUCCAUAAGUCUUCAAGAAGUCUUCUGGAUCGAAAGUAUUUAACCUAAUU